UACAGAGGGUGCGAGCGUUAAUCGGAAUUACUGGGCGUAAAGGGCGCGUAGGCGGUGUAUUAAGUUAGAUGUGAAAUCCCUGGGCUUAACCUAGGAACUGCACCUAAUACUGGUACGCUAGAGUGCAGUAGAGGGUAGUGGAAUUUCCGGUGUAGCGGUGAAAUGCGUAGAUAUCGGAAGGAACACCAGUGGCGAAGGCGGCUACCUGGACUGACACUGACGCUGAGGCGCGAGAGCGUGGGGAGCAAAC
RNAcentral lists this ribosomal RNA (250 nucleotides) under uncultured prokaryote. RNAcentral's name for it is "partial 16S ribosomal RNA". It matches the Rfam family "Bacterial small subunit ribosomal RNA", at positions 524 to 773 of the family's 1533-position model. The record is from RNAcentral.